This 1391-nucleotide long non-coding RNA is filed under the name Papio anubis (olive baboon). Its description in RNAcentral is "lncRNA (ENSPANG00000050571.1)". The stretch from base 473 to 620 matches the Rfam family "Metazoan signal recognition particle RNA". The record is from RNAcentral. Lineage: Eukaryota; Metazoa; Chordata; Mammalia; Primates; Cercopithecidae.
CACAUCUGCCUGGUCUUCUAAUUAAAGGGGCUGAAACCCAGUUUCAGGCAUAAAAAUGAUCACUGACAUCACAGUGCUUCAGAGAGUGUCAGUAAAGCUGAGGGAUAGCGCUGUGCUUACAAUGCAAACUGGGUGUCCUGUGUGGAAAACAAACAAAAAUUGUCAAAUAUCAAAUAUCUAAAAUACCAUCCUUCAUACAUUGUUAAUUUUGUUACAUUAAACUUUCCUCAUUCUAUUUAAUUGGGUAUUGAAUCACUUUUUUAAAUUCUUAAAUUCUUAGUAUUUCAAGCUUUUCUGGAGAAAUAAAAUGAAUGACAAGUACAGAAUUAAAAUAUAAUCCUUAGCAGGCGCGGUGGCUCACACCAGUAAUCCCAGCCCUUUGGGAGGCUGAGGUGGGAAGAUCAUGAGGUCAGGAGAUCGAGACCAUCCUGACUAACACAGUGAAACCCCAUCUUUACUAAAAAUAAAAUUAGCCGGGCAUGGUGGCGUGUGCCUGUAGUCCCAACUACUUGAGAGGUUGAGGCAGGAGAAUCACUUGAACCCAGGAGGCGGAGGUUGCAGUGAACUGAGAUUGUGCCACUGCACUCCAGCCUGGGUGACAGAGUGAGACUCUGUCUCAAAAUAAAUAAAUAAAUAAAUAAAUAAAUAAAUAAAUAAAAUAAAAUCCUCAAAUGAAUCAGCAUUCUAAUCCAUUUUCGAUUUUAGUAGUUGAGAAGAUGUCCCUUUUCAAAGCAUGCUGAAUGGAACCGAGCAACUCAGAUGUUCUACACUAACAGAAAAAUUAGUACUACCUUUGACUUCUGAUAGCCCUAAAAAACUAUACAGCUAUAUUGGAGGUGAGCAAGAAUUGCCAUGGACAUGGGCCUGCCUGGGAGGCUGAGUGGGCAAGAGUAACUUGUAACCAGAAGUGAGUAACUCUCCCUCCUUUCCCAUCUCACUGCUCUUUUCCCUCCACUCCUGUCUCCCUAAGUUUACACUCUCUAACAAAAGAGUAGCAUAUGCCAACACAGCCUUUGCUUUAUGGGGACCCAAAUUAAGACAACGGCAUUAAAAUUUAUUUUGCACCUUGCACUUGGGUUCACAGCCAAAGUGCAUUAAAAAAAUAGCAAAAUUGUGAUGUGAUAAUUAAACUCUCCUCUGUGUUAUUGAAGAGUUUCUUAUCUGGGUCAUGGUAAAACUGCAUCAUAACUGCAGUCUUAUGGGUCAUGUUAAAACGGCAUAUAUCUUCUCACAGAGAUGGAGACAUUUAUAACAUCUGCCUGGCAGCUUGCCCAUCCUUGAUUGCAAAAGGGAAUAAAAGCACCUUAGAGAGUAACAAAGAUGACAUGAAAUUUUGAAAGAGAAAAAGAGAGAUGGGAUUGAUUGAGAAAUAAUAUUCUCAUAAAAACUCA